This 731-nucleotide ribosomal RNA is filed under the name uncultured Campylobacter sp. RNAcentral's name for it is "bacterial SSU rRNA". It matches the Rfam family "Bacterial small subunit ribosomal RNA", at positions 28 to 776 of the family's 1533-position model. The record is from RNAcentral. Lineage: Bacteria; Pseudomonadati; Campylobacterota; Epsilonproteobacteria; Campylobacterales; Campylobacteraceae.
AGUGAACGCUGGCGGCGUGCCUAAUACAUGCAAGUCGAACGGACAAGUAAGAGCUUGCUCUUAUGAGUUAGUGGCGCACGGGUGAGUAAUGUAUAGCUAAUCUGCCCUACACUAGAGGACAACAGUUGGAAACGACUGCUAAUACUCUAUACUCCUAUCUAACAUAAGUUAGAUAGGGAAAGUUUUUCGGUGUAGGAUGAGGCUAUAUUGUAUCAGCUAGUUGGUGAGGUAAUGGCUCACCAAGGCUAUGACGCAUAACUGGUCUGAGAGGAUGAUCAGUCACACUGGAACUGAGACACGGUCCAGACUCCUACGGGAGGCAGCAGUAGGGAAUAUUGCUCAAUGGGGGAAACCCUGAAGCAGCAACGCCGCGUGGAGGAUGACACUUUUCGGAGCGUAAACUCCUUUUGUUAGGGAAGAACAAUGACGGUACCUAACGAAUAAGCACCGGCUAACUCCGUGCCAGCAGCCGCGGUAAUACGGAGGGUGCAAGCGUUACUCGGAAUCACUGGGCGUAAAGGACGCGUAGGCGGAUUAUCAAGUCUCUUGUGAAAUCCUAUGGCUUAACCAUAGAACUGCUUGGGAAACUGAUAAUCUAGAGUGAGGGAGAGGCAGAUGGAAUUGGUGGUGUAGGGGUAAAAUCCGUAGAGAUCACCAGGAAUACCCAUUGCGAAGGCGAUCUGCUGGAACUCAACUGACGCUAAUGCGUGAAAGCGUGGGGAGCAAACAGG